CCACAUGAUUUGUCACUGAGUUGUCUCAAUUUUUACAGAUUCAUUGUUCCAGUGCUUGUUGGUACACCUAUAUUCGCGGACAGAUGCUUGUUCGUCGUGUGCGUCUCCGAGAGAGGGUCUAACGCGAGAACGAAUCUCUCUUCAAACCUGCGGAAUUUAAACGAGUUUAGGACAAUAUGCGCUGAAAUGGCGCACAUCUAGAUCAGAAUCAUCGGUUCUCCAAAGAUCUAGUCGGUUAAUUAUUGGUCUUCGAUUCCAAUACUUACGGUAGAUUGCAGCGGAAAAGAGAAUUUCACCGAAAUAUUGCCAAAAUGAUUCGUUCCCGUGAAGUCUUAUUAAAAUCUACAGUUUUGAGACCACCAAUUUAUCUGUGGAUAUUAUUUAAAACCAUUCCACUUUUGGGAAUGUUCAUUCUAUCAGCGAGUACUCCGGUAUCAGCAAGAGAAGUUAAUUCAGUCGAUCCCGAAACUCUUAGUCUCAAAAAUCAGGACGCUAUGAUCGACUAUAUCAACAGAGUUCAGUCGUCAUGGACGGUAAUAAAAGUUUCCAUCAUACCUCAAGAAAAUGUAAACUUAAAAGGGUGGUUGAAAUAGAAAACUAUUGCUUGAAUGUUCGUGCUUAAAGUAAUAGGUCGAGUGGCGUCAGCCAAGUUUUGGGUAAGUCCCCGCUGCCCCCUUAAAUCUAUAGCCCUGCGAAGGUACAGCUCAUGCGGACCCAAAAUCCAGGCGAUGCGAGUUUAGGACCCAGUCCUGGAAUUGUUUUUCCGUAAAACGUAGGCACAAACAAUAUUUACUCAAAAUGUCUCAUACCUCAAUUUUUUAACUAACUCUUAUCCUAAAAAUGGUAACCUUUCAUUAUGAGUACAGUGCAAUCAAUGGGACUGAAACAGACAUUUUUAUUAACAAACUUUGCUUAUAAUAAAUAUGACGGUGCGACAUACCAGCGGAUAGAGGCAGUGCAAUUGUUAAAACUUACAGACAAAAUUGCGAUUACAAAAUUCGUUCUUACCUAGAGCAGAAAGCGAAAGAAAAAAAUUAUCAAAAAUUAUGUAGGAAAUUAUGAAAAAUUAUGAAGAAAAACUUUUAGUUUCAUCUCUAUUGAUUUGAAAUAUCUUGAUUUCAAGAACGAGAAAGAUGAAAUGCACAUUAUGAAACAAAUAAGCUACAAACAAUUCUCUGUGACGAUUAAAGAGGCCUCAAUGCUCGUUGGUUUUAUUGUUAAUUCUUACGGGUCAAUCAAUCUUUUAAAAGUCAACACCAUCUUGUGCUCGAUAGAACUGGGUCCGAAUUUUGUUGACAAGUUUGCGGUAGGCCACAAAUUGAGAUAAUAAGUCGCCUUCAUAUUGGAUCGCUGAUUUAGAGUUUGCACCUUUGAGGAACUAAGGAUGGCUCGAACCUGCUAGAAGAAAGAGCUUAACUUGCGUACAGCUUGAGCCUAGAGUAUAUUUUUCCUGUUUUAAAGUCGAAUCUAGAGGUUAGGUUUGUCGACCUGCAGUCGACCGUAGCCAACAAAAGUCAGACCCUGAUCCAUGGUUUUUGCGUUUGGCCCAGAUAUUCCAGACCAAAUUAUCAUCAAAGACCAAAGUCUGUCAUCGGUGUCAAACAUUGGUCAAACUCGCUCCUAAUGUAAACAAACAAACGGCGACAUAGUCCGGACAUAAACAAAGCGGAUCUUGUCGAGAUGUUCCAGACUCGAUUAAUCAGCGUUAGCGUUUCUUCACCUCGACAAAAGAACUUUCUUCCGCGUCCAUCAUUUAUCCCUUUCGUAAAAUCAGACAUCAGUUACCCCGUUGAUCUGUUCAUGGUGAUUUCCAGGUGAAAUUGCGGUGAGAUACUCCUAACGUAAACAAAGCGGCCUGUACCUGGUCGAGAUGUUCCGGACUCAUUUCUUCAUUUACGUUUCUUCAUCUCGACCAAAUAAGUUUCCUGCGCGUCCAAAGUAACAUUUUCCGGUUCCAUUUUUAAAAAGAAACAAGCCAUUUUGUAGUAAGUUAGGAUAAUAUUUGUGUUGAUUGAGUGGCAUGAGCAUUGGACUACC
RNAcentral lists this long non-coding RNA (2037 nucleotides) under Bemisia tabaci. RNAcentral describes it as "lncRNA ENSSSA3NGG013033". Lineage: Eukaryota; Metazoa; Arthropoda; Insecta; Hemiptera; Aleyrodidae. The record is from RNAcentral.